Molecule: ribosomal RNA, 903 nt
Filed under: Triticum aestivum (bread wheat)
Lineage: Eukaryota; Viridiplantae; Streptophyta; Magnoliopsida; Poales; Poaceae
Description: partial small subunit ribosomal RNA
Source: RNAcentral
AUGGACGGCCUGCACGGCGCGGACGCCUGCUUCUCGCCCGGGAGGGCCAUGUCGCCGCAGGUCCGGCCCCCCGCCGGCCCGCCGGACGUAGGCAGCCACUACUUGACGGAGCUGUUGCAGGAGCACCAGAAGCUCGUCCCGUUCACGCAGGUGCUACCAAUCUGCAGCAAGCUGUUGGGUAACGAGAUAAUGCGGGUGUCCUGCCUGCUUAAGCACCAGCAUGGUGGGGACUUUGAGAGGUUGCCGCCGAUGGCGAGUCCAAACCAGAUGCAUCAUCAUCCGUCGCCCCCAAUGCCUAAUUUCUGUGGAAAUGGUUUUGGCCCGUGGAACCACGGGGCGCAUCCAGAGAGGGUAGGUUUUCCUCAAGGACCUGUGGGUUGGCAAGGAGCACCACAAAGCCCCUCUUCAUACAUUGUCAAGAAGAUUUUGCGGUUGGAGAUACCAACAGAUACUUACCCUAAUUUCAAUUUUAUUGGCCGUCUUCUUGGGCCAAGAGGAAACUCGUUGAAGAGGAUUGAAGCCUCUACGGGUUGUCGUGUUUUUAUCAGAGGGAAGGGCUCAAUUAAAGAUCCUGGGAAGGAGGAACAGCUGAAGGGAAGACCUGGUUAUGAACACUUGGAUGAUCCCCUGCAUAUCUUGAUUGAAGCAGAGUUACCUGCCAAUGUCAUUGAUGCAAGACUCUCAAAAGCACAAGAGAUCCUAGAAGAGUUGUUGAAACCAGUGGUACGCGAUGAAUCACAAGACUACUACAAGAGGCAGCAACUCCGUGAGCUUGCGAUGCUGAACUCACCGCUCCGAGAGGAGAGCCCUCGUCUAAGCCCGCAUCCAAGCCCGCACCCAAGCCCGCAUCAAGGCGGCGCUUCGCCCUUCAGUAACGGUGGGAUGAAACGAAGCAAACAAUGA